Molecule: unclassified non-coding RNA, 2029 nt
Filed under: Pomacea canaliculata
Lineage: Eukaryota; Metazoa; Mollusca; Gastropoda; Architaenioglossa; Ampullariidae
Description: solute carrier family 22 member 18-like, transcript variant X3
Source: RNAcentral
AUUGUCGAAGACGCAAUGUACCGUGAAAGAAGAGCAGCCCCAGACACUAGACGGGGAGAAGAUCCUGACCCCAUGAUGAAACGUGGAGAUCAUCCUGGAUUUCAUGCUUCACCCAGGAGCAUGAUGAUGAUAGCUCAUAUCGUCAACUUUGUCUAUGGCAGCUCUUUCUUCAUGCAGGCCAGUGUCUUUACAUACUUAUGUAGAAAGCUGGGGGCAGAUACAGAAACUUACGGUUGGAUCCAGACUCUAUUUGCAACUCUUCAGCUAAUUGGGAACCCAAUUUUUGGUUACUUCGGAGAUGUCUUUGGUCCUAAGGUCACAGUGAUUGUUGCACUGACCUCAGCAGGCCUGUCACACAUGCUUCUAGGAUUUUCCACAAACCUGACCAUGCUUGUGAUUUCUAGGUUCCCUGCCAUCGCUAUGCAUGGCUAUACAGCCUGUCAGAUGCUUGUGACCAGCGUAAGUGAAAAAAACAAGAGAGCAAAGGCUCUAGGACAGAUUGGGGUCUCCUUUGGUGUGAGCAUGAUUGUUGGACCACUUAUAGGAGGAUGGCUAACCAAGUUGUACGGGGAAGAAUUUACAGUACUUGUGGCAGGAGCAGAGAAUCUUUUGACUGUACCAUUAGCCCUGAUGGUCAUUCCACAGAAAAUCAAGCCAGCGUCAUCACAGCAUACUGACACCACUAAAAGUUUGGGGAGUGUUCAAAAGUUGAUUCGUUUUUUCUCUACACCUGGUGUCAUCUUCCUCUUCUUGGUACAGCUCUGUUCAGCUCUUCCUAGCCAGCUCUUUUGGAGCACAUUUCCUGUGUUUGCUAUGGAUACAUUUGGGCUUUCCCCAGAGCAAGGAGGGUACUUCAUGUCCUUCAUAGGCAUUACAUUAAUGGCUGCUCAAGGCAUUGGUGUGGGCUUUGUGGCAAAGACUUUCAGUGAGAGUACUGUGCUAGCGGGUUCAUCUUUCUUCUUGAUUUGGUCAUACCUAGGUUUGGCAUAUAUAACCAAAGUAUGGCAGCUGUACUUGGAUGUGCAUUGCCAUUUCUGUGUUGUCUGACACUCAUUAAUAUAAUUAUCACCACUGCCCUCACACACACUGUUUCAAGUGAAAAUACAGGCACUGUACUUGGUCUCAACAUGGCAGUAACCUAUUUCAUGCAAGCUGCCACUCCAACUCUGGGAGGUUACAUGCUCAGUACAUUUGGUUAUCCAUCUAUUGGAGUGUUUGGUUUCAUUAUGAGCUUUGUUGUAACACUUAUGUUAUGCAUUGGCUACAGGAAGAAACCAUGGGCAGCCUGGGGUAAAUUUAAACAGUUGCUUUUGGGUGUCAUGGUAUCUCGUUGGUGAGAGGACCUAUGUAUGUACUGAUAUAGAGAUAUAGAUAGAUAAUACUAAUCUGUAAGUGUGACCAUCCAUGUGUGUAAACUGUGUAUUAUCAAGAAUGACCAGGCUCUCAUUUGUAUAGAUCUGUGCACACAUGUGGUAUGUACUAACAUGAAAAUCUCUUGUCGCUACUGUUUACAGCUUGUUUGACCUGUGGAGAUUUAUUCGGAGCAUUCUUGGCCUGCUCUUUCUAACGACUUCCUCGAUAACAAUUGCAGAUCAAACUCAGUCUUGGGUAGUGAAAUUUAUAACCAGGCUGCAUAGACAACUCUAGUCCUCUGUUUCCUUCUGUCUACAAGAUUUUUUUUUAUAAUUUUUGCAUUUCUUUUAAUUUCAUAGACAUGUUGAAUAACAGAGUACUACAUUCAUUCUGCCACUACUCAGACAGUACACCCCUUUUUAUUCAUCCAAUAUUUUAUCUCCUUUUCUUUUCUGUCAUUUUGGUUGAUUUCUUCAAUUUCUCCCUAUCAUGAUUAUCAUUGUUGUUAUUAUUGCUAUUUGUAAAAUGUCAUUAGCUUGCUUAUAAGGAUGGGAUAUGGCGCUAUAUAAAUGAACUUUAUUAAUAUUAUCUUUAGAUUAUUUUAAUAAUCUUUUCACAAAUAAAGCUGAGUGUAUUGUCAAGCAUAAGUAAACAAAUAAAAUCGAUAUGAGCGAUA